Molecule: transfer RNA, 77 nt
Filed under: Azobacteroides pseudotrichonymphae (SeqCode)
Lineage: Bacteria; Pseudomonadati; Bacteroidota; Bacteroidia; Bacteroidales
Description: Candidatus Azobacteroides pseudotrichonymphae tRNA-Met
Rfam family: tRNA
About the family: Transfer RNA (tRNA) molecules are approximately 80 nucleotides in length. Their secondary structure includes four short double-helical elements and three loops (D, anti-codon, and T loops). Further hydrogen bonds mediate the characteristic L-shaped molecular structure. tRNAs have two regions of fundamental functional importance: the anti-codon, which is responsible for specific mRNA codon recognition, and the 3' end, to which the tRNAs corresponding amino acid is attached (by aminoacyl-tRNA synthetases). tRNAs cope with the degeneracy of the genetic code in two manners: having more than one tRNA (with a specific anti-codon) for a particular amino acid; and 'wobble' base-pairing, i.e. permitting non-standard base-pairing at the 3rd anti-codon position.
Source: RNAcentral
GGCGAGAUAGCUCAGUUGGUUAGAGCGCAUGAUUCAUAAUCAUGAGGGCGGGGGAUCGUGUCCCCCUCUCGCUACUA